UUGGAAAAGCUUUCUUCGAUCAUUCAACGCCGCGUUUGAAACUUUUUUCCAAUGACUUGCAAGUAUAAAAUUGGAAUUUUUUCUCUGGUAACAAAAGGGGUGGCAAGAUUAAAACACCGCCAAUUGCUAAAUAGAGCUUGACUUCGUCAUCCACCUCUUGUGCUUGCUAGAGUUGCUAGACAGAAAAUAUUCUCUGCUGUGCCCCUGUUUUUAUCAGCUGAUAUGCUCUGGCAAACUAAAGAAAGUCUCACCUGGACCUCAAGAGGGAAAUUGAGCUGGAAUAUCUGAUUCAAAUUUGUUGCAGUC
RNAcentral lists this long non-coding RNA (306 nucleotides) under Elaeis guineensis (African oil palm). RNAcentral describes it as "long non-coding RNA (EGUI_LNC014568)". The record is from RNAcentral. Lineage: Eukaryota; Viridiplantae; Streptophyta; Magnoliopsida; Arecales; Arecaceae.